AUUGAACGCUGGCGGCAUGCCUUACACAUGCAAGUCGAACGGUAACGGGUCCUUCGGGAUGCCGACGAGUGGCGAACGGGUGAGUAAUAUAUCGGAACGUGCCCAGUAGUGGGGGAUAACUGCUCGAAAGAGCAGCUAAUACCGCAUACGACCUGAGGGUGAAAGGGGGGGAUCGCAAGACCUCUCGCUAUUGGAGCGUCCGAUAUCAGAUUAGCUAGUUGGUGGGGUAAAGGCCUACCAAAGCAACGAUCUGUAGUUGGUCUGAGAGGACGACCAGCCACACUGGGACUGAGACACGGCCCAGACUCCUACGGGAGGCAGCAGUGGGGAAUUUUGGACAAUGGGCGCAAGCCUGAUCCAGCAAUGCCGCGUGCAGGAAGAAGGCCUUCGGGUUGUAAACUGCUUUUGUCAGGGAAGAAAUCUUCUGGGCUAAUACCCCGGGAGGAUGACGGUACCUGAAGAAUAAGCACCGGCUAACUACGUGCCAGCCGCCGCGGUAA
RNAcentral lists this ribosomal RNA (500 nucleotides) under uncultured bacterium. RNAcentral describes it as "partial 16S ribosomal RNA". It matches the Rfam family "Bacterial small subunit ribosomal RNA", at positions 30 to 523 of the family's 1533-position model. The record is from RNAcentral.